This 10501-nucleotide long non-coding RNA is filed under the name Populus trichocarpa (black cottonwood). RNAcentral describes it as "long non-coding RNA (PTRI_LNC003603)". The record is from RNAcentral. Lineage: Eukaryota; Viridiplantae; Streptophyta; Magnoliopsida; Malpighiales; Salicaceae.
UAGCAGAGAAUAUGGCGAUUCGGCAACAGAGACUGGAGGAGAAAACGAAGAAGAGCAAAGUGUGACUGUUGAUGAUCAAUUCAUGGAACCUAGCUUUCGCGUAGUCCGUGAGAUCAAGCAUGGAGAGGAGAGAAUAAUUGAAGAGAUCGAACAUUUCAGUCAUCAACAUAACCUAAUCCUUAAUGACAAGGUUGAUGAUGAUCUAAAGUGUGAUGGGUGCAUGCUACCAAUCUCAACUCCAUUUUAUAGUUGUGCCAGGUGUAAUUUCUUUCUUGACAAAACCUGCAUAGAAUUACCCAAGAAAAAAAAGUGGCAAUAUCACGAAAACCAACUGAUUCUUUCAUGGAGCCGAAGGGAACAUUUUCUGUACAACUGUGUUGUGUGUAAUCAAUAUUUUCGUGGGCUCAGGUACACAUGUGAUGUAUGUCGUCUCUGCAUUGAUGUCCGAUGCUUCAAAUCAUUGAAAGAUUCUUUUAAACAUGGAGGUCAUGAGCAUCCCCUUUAUCUUCCAGCGGACAGAAAGAAAAUUCUCCGUUGCACUAUUGGAGGUCGCGGGGUUCCCCCUUGGGUUGCAGAUGACGGAGAGAUUAUUCCCCAUUGCAGUGGCUGUUGUGUCAGUGAAGAAUCAAAGGUAUUUUUUAAAUGUGCGGUUUGCGAUUUCAAGCUGGGUAUGAAAUGUGCUACACUGCCAUACAAAGCAAGACACGAGUAUGAUGACCAUCCUCUCUUCCUCACCUAUAUUAAUGAAAAUGACUACCAACCUUCCUGUAUAAUUUGUGAAGAAGAUAGAGACCCAAAGCUCUGGUUCUACCGUUGUGAGGAAUGCGACUUCGAUGCUCAUCCAGAAUGUGCUCUCGGGAAAUACCCAUUUUUCAAGCCAGGGGGUGUUCUAACAUAUCCUAAACACCCUCACCCUCUUGCUUUGGUCAUCAAGACAGAGGAUUAUCGUCCGCAGGCAUGCGAUACUUGUGGUGAGCCUUGCGAUGACUUGGCCCUUGAAUGUACUGAUCCUAACUGCAGUUUUAUCGUCCACAGGAAAAGAAGGCAAUGCUCUAACUCAUUAUGGUAAUUGGAUGGCAGUUGUUGGCUUUUUUCUUAUUUUUGGGUUAUGAUUGUUGGCAGUUGCCAGACAGAGGAUUAUUAUCUCUGUUUCUAUUUUCGCGUAUGAGAUCACUUUUUUGUUUCUCUGUUUUGUUCUGAACAAUAAAAGAUGCUAUUUUAUUAAAACUGUCCUUGAAGGUAGUUUGUUGUUUCUUUGAGCCUUAGUAAGUGACAAAGAUGUCCAUAAAUUCUGCUUUUACAUUUUUGUUAUAGAUUUUAUUGUAAAUGCAUAAAAAUAUUGGCAUAUAAAAGAACACUUAUCUAACUGAUAUCAAUUAUUUUCAUUCAAAUAUUUAAUUUUUAUUUCCUUAACAUAAUCUAAUAUUAAAUAAAUAUAUAUUAAAUAAUAUUUAAAACGAACACCUCCGGGGCAUUCGAUAGCCUUUUCCUUUAAGAUAUAUAAUGAAAACGUUUAGAAACUGAUUGAUUUUUAAUUUAGACAAAAAGCUCUUUCUAGCUCAAACCCAAUUUAAUUAUUUUUCAGGCUAAUUAAUGGAUAGUCCAGAAAAAAUAAUUAAUGCUUUUUGAAACUUCUACUGCAUUUUUUUUUAGCGGCAAAAACAAAUUAUUGAGUAAAAUCACUAUAUUAAAAUCAUAAUAUAAUUUGUUGUUUCUUUGUGCCUUCGUAGUGACAGAGAUGUCUGACCAUUUUUCUUAGCUUAGCAGGAAGCUCUCCAUAAAUUCUGCUUUUACAUUUUUGAUAUAGAUUUUAUUGUAAAUGCAUAGAAAUACUGUCAUAUCAAUUAUUUUCAUUCAAAUAUAAAAUAACACUUAUCUAACUGAUAUCAAUUAUUUUCAUUCAAAUAUUUAAUUUUUAUUUCCUUAAACACAAUCUAAUAAUAAAUAAAUGUAUUUAAAUAAUAUUUAAAACGCAUACCUCAAAGGCAUUCGAUAGCUUUGUCCUUUAAUAAGAUAUAUCAUGAAAAAGUAAGUUAAUUCAUGUUUUUGGUAUUUUUUCUUUUAAGAAGAAUAAGAACAAGUAUCGAUCUUCUUUAUCUAAUUUCUAAACCACGAAAGAAUAAGAACAAGCCAUUUCGAUCGAUCAUUUGGUUUUCCAUUUGCUAAGACAUGAUAAUCCCCCGGGGAGGAGAUAAUUAUGCUGGAAUUGACUUUGAUGUUACAACAAAAAGCUUGGCCAACAUUUCAAGUAUUAAAAUAAAAAUAUAAAAAAUCACCUGAGUCAACUCGAGUUAACCUAUUAAGUUAUUUAUAAAUCAUGAAUCGUGAUAACCUAAUAAAAAAAACUGAAAAAAAUCAUGAUGUCCAACUCAAUAUUAAAAAAUUAAAUUGAAGAAAAAAAUCAGUUAAGAAAAUAAAAUUAAAAAAAAACUUGAAUCAAUAGGGUUAACCACCCAAACUUAUGAUUUGAAUUAUAAGGCUCGGACAACAUAAUAAAAAAUAAAUUCAAUGUCAAAAAUGAAAUUGCAAAAAAAAAAUAGAGAAGCAUUUAUUAAAAAAAUAAAAUGAAAAAAAGAAAGAAAAAAAAAGCACUAUGAAAAAAGAAAAAAAAAGGCACUAAAGUGCUUUGUUUAGAUGCCACAGGUACUUUGCCUUAAUUUUUUCGGAGUUGAUCAAUGGAUUAACCAAGAAAUAGAUUUUACUUCUAACAUUCUCUGAAGAAAAUCUUUGUUUAACUUUCUUAAUACAUUUUACUGUAAGAAACAAGGAGAAAGGAAAAAGAAAAAGGACAAACGAGAAAUUACUUGGUUGAGAUAACCAAGAAAUAGGUUUAUCAACGGAAGGACCUAAUUUUCUGUUCCAGAUAAACUUGAUGAAUCCGCUGUUUCGUAUUUUAAUUAGUGCUUGUUUGAAAGUGUAGUUGCAGUUUUUUUUAAAAGUGUUUUUUAUGCUGAAAUAUAUGAAAAUAAUAUUUUUUUUAUUUUUUAAAAAUUAUUUUUGAGAUCAGUGCAUUAAAACGAUCCAAAACAUACAAAAAAAUUAAUUUUUAAUAAAAAAAUUUGAAUUUUGGUAUAACAUGGUUUAUACCGCGUUCAUCCAAACCACGUAUAAAAUAACAUCAUGUAUAAAACAUUAAUUCAAAAUAAAAAAAAUAUUGUUUUAAAAACAUUUUUAAAACAACAAACAAAUUAUAAGUUCUGAGUUUGAAUUAAAAAUACUUCUAUUUGAUAUGGUCAUUUCAAAAUAUUUUUUUUUUAUUUUUACAAAAAAAUCAAUUUUGUUGUUAGAGAAAAACAAAAAUCAAGGGGUCAAAAUUAAAAGUUUGGUGAAGUAGUAGCCUUUUUAAGAAAACAUAAGUGUCACAGCCUUUUAAACUUAAAAUUUGGUCAAAUAUUAGUUUUGAUCCCUUCGGCUUGGAAAUUAUACUAUUUGGUUCAAAAUUUUAUUUUAUUUACAUUUAAGUCAAUAAAUUUAAAAGAAAAGGGUAAAAGUUGCUAGAUUACAACGAAUGAGAGAGAAUUAUUAUUAAUCACAUUCUAACAAUCAAAAAAAAUCAUUCUUGAUAUUAAUGAAUUCUAUUUCAAAAAAAGAAUUUCAUUAAUGUAUUUUUUGCCCAAUGAACUUUUUUUAAACCCAAACAAAUAUUGAGUUUUUAUUAAGUUAUUCAAUAAGAGUUGGUACAUAUAACAUUAUGUGCAAUUUGCUUAAAUAUUUUAGUUAAUUCAAAUGAAAUAUCAUAAUAUUAGUUAAUUAUGUAAUUGUUCACAUUUCAAGGUUAUUAAGAGUUAAACCGUUUGAUUUUAAAAAUUAAAAAAAAAGUGUUUUAAAAUUAAGUGUUUCCUUUUUUUUCUCCUUAAUGUUUUUUGGUUACUUAAUUUUUUUUUUCAAUUUGAUCUUUACAUAUUUAUUAAAUUUAGAAUUAAGCUUCAUGAUAUAUUUCAUGCUCUUUUCUUUCGAGUUUUCAUGGUCUUUUAAAACAUCAUGGCAUUGAGUUUGUUUUUAAUUUUACAAAGAAGAAUUCAAUUUGAUUGUUUACAAAGAAUUAAAAAUGAGAGGAUAAAAAUUGAAAAUUAGGUGAAAUGGUAGCUCUUUAGAUGAUAUUUUCACUUCUCAGUGCUUAAUUUCUUGUUUUUUUUAGUUCGGUCAUCGAGCUUUGUUUUUUUUCAAAUUUACCCUUUCACAUUGCAUUGAUUGAUGAUUUGGUUCGUAUUGCUUCUUUCAGUUUAUCAUAAUCUCCAAAAAACUACCACCACAUUAGGUUGGUUCUCUAUUUUACAAAAAACAAAAAAUCAAUUUUUUUGUUAGAGAAAAACAAAAAUUGAGGGGAUCAAAAUUAAAAGCUUGGUGAAAUGAUAACCUUUUUAAAAAACAAUGGGUGUUAAAGUCUUUUAGACUUAAAAUUUAGUUCAAUAUUAGUUUUGGUCCCUUCAGCUUGAAAUUAUACUAUUUGGUUCAAGAUUUUAUUUUAUUUACAUUCCAAUUCUUAAAUCUAAAAGAAGACAAUAAAAGUUAUUGUUAACCAUAAUUUAGCAACCGAAACAAGUUGUUCUUGAAGUUAAUGGGUUCUAUUUCAAGAUAAGAAUUCCUCAUCAGAUUUCAAGAUAAUGGGUUGUUUAGAGUAGGUUUGUUUUCAUGUUUUAAAAAUAUUUUAAAAAAAAUUUAAUUUUUUUUGUUUUAUAUUAAUUUUUUUGUGUUUUUAAAUCAUUUUAACGUGCUAAUGUCAAAAAAAAAAAUUAAAAAAAAAAUAUUAUUUCGAUAAAUUAUUUAAGUGAAAAACACUUUGAAAAACAAUUCCCACCACAAUACAAAAAAAAACUCUUAUUAGUUGAAACUAAAUUAUUGGUAGCGCUAAAUUUUAUCUAAAUUUCUUUUAACAUAAAAAAAAUAUUCAGAUGUUGUUAAUGAUUUUUUUCUAAUGAAAAAAAAAUUAAUGCAAGAGUUGAUUUGAUGUGACUUGGUAUAUUUGACAGGUCUAAAAACAAUCCAAAUGACCAGUAAAAACAUAAUUUAACUAAAAAAUUAAUAUAAUAUUUUUUUUAAUAUUAAAAAGAGAAGUUAUUGAAUCGACUUGAAUCAAUGUAGGUUAACAUAUCAAAUUCAUUACCUGAGUUAUGAGAGCAGUAGGAAGUUUGAAUAAGAAGUGCACCUAUUUGAUAGGUCACCUCAUUUGAUGAACAGUGGUCAUUUCAAUCACAAGUUUUGCCUACUCCUCGAGGCACGAACACAUAACCUCCAAAAACAAAUCACUAAUUAAUGUGUGAUACAUAAACAAAGAAAAAUAAAUUACUUGAUUUGCUGCUGUAAAGAUAUUAAACUUACAUACACCCAUAUUAUUUUAUAUUAAAUAAAUAAAAUUAAUAAAAUUUAAACUUUUGAUUAUUCAAGACUCUAGUAUUAUAUAAAAAAUUAUUUUAAUUCAGUAACUUAAAUUAUUAAUUAAAGAGGAAAUGAGAAAUUGGUCCGUGCCCACCAUUCCAGAAUACAAUAGACAUCCAGCUCACAUGAUUACUUUUACAUGGAUAAUCAGUCAAGACAUGACCCUGGGGCUCUCAUGAUUUCACGUGAACAACAACAUUUUCUCAUUGGCAAAGGUUUUCACAAUGAUGCUGACUUGAAGACGUGACAAAUGCCUUUUUUUUUUUUUUUUUAUCUGAGAUUUUAAAAUAUAAUUUAUAUUAUUUUUUAAUAAAUAUAAUUUAAGGUAUAAUUAUCAAACCUAUUCUAGCCGGUAAGUCGACUUAAAGUCUAGCCACCCAGGCUUGAUUUCUUUUUGAACCAAUAAAUCAACCUUUAACCUGGUUACUGUAUCAAACUUGAGUGAGAUUUAAUCAGGUUAUUUCCAAGGAAUUUUACAAAAAAUUAUCUCGAUGUUUUGUUUUCAAAAAACCACUAAAAUGAUAUCGUUUUGAAACUAACCACUCUGUUACUGGGGACUUUAUUCGGGUAUGAUAAAGUUCAACAAGAUUUCCUGCUUUAUAUAGUUAUUUGAGACUCUUUUGUGUGAGAAUCCAUGGAGUUUUCAUCUGUUCUUUACAUUUGUUUUGUAUCUGUUUCAUUAUCAGUAUCAUCAAAUAAUUUGUUGAGUCUGACAGAUAGAAAUUAUCCCAGUUCAUUCACAGGAUGAAGACUGGCGAAGAAUCAAGCGAGAAAAAUGAUAAGGGAGAUCAAGUUUGCGGGUUAGCAGCAAAUGUGAAAAAGAAUUUGGAAACCUUAGGUCCAAAUCCUUUAUCGGAAGAGUGUUGUAUCUAUAAAGUUCCAAAGCGACUGCAAGUGUUAAACGACAAGGCCUACACACCUCAAGUAGUCUCCAUUGGUCCAUUUUUAUGUAAUACUAUUUAACUUACUUGAUUUGCUGCUGUAAAGAUAUUAACUUAUCAGUAACCCUUCUUUUUUGUUCUAAGUUCUGUAUAUAUCACAUUUCUUGAUUUGUAGAGAACAAAAACAUAAUUAACCUCGACUUCAUUAAUAAUUAUAUAUCUAAUACAUUUUAUAAAUAACUACAAAAUUAUACAAAAAAAACUAGAAGUCAUAUGUUAAUCACUAUAUGGCUUGUGAGAGGAUUUGUUUUGGAUUGCAAAGUGUUUCUUUCUAUUUUUCAUUAAAUUUUUUUCAGUUACUUAUUUUUUUUCAAUUUAACUUUUACACAUUUAAUUAAUUUAAGUAAAAAACACUUUAAAAAACAAUUAAAAAAAAUUAUUCUUGAUGUUAAUAAGUACCAUUUCAAGAUAAAAAUUUUAUUACUGUAUGUUUUGCUCCUCAUCUUACUAGAAAAAGUAAAUUCUUUAGGGAUUUUUUUUUGAACCGGAACAAAUUUUGAAUUAUUUAAUCAAUUAAACAUUGUUUAGAGGUUAUGUUUACGAGGUGUUUAUAAGUGUUUUUAAGUGAAAGAAAUGAUUGAAAUGUUGUUUUGUGUUCAAAGAGAGGGGAGCAAUUUUCUAGUGACUUCCAGCCUCUAGAGUUUCUCGACGAUGAAACAAAUAGGUGGCGUGUUUUUAAUUUGUCACUACAAAAAACAUAUUGGAUUAAUUAGAAAAAAAAAAAAAUGUGUUGAUUGACGUGCUAGGCCUCCUGGAUCAGUGCUUAACCAUUUUUUGCCCUUUUAAGUCUAUUUAAUGUAGAAUUAGAUAACUAAAUAUAUAUAUAUAUAUAUAUAUAUAUAUAUAUAUAUAUAUAUAUUUAUUAAUUUAUUAAAUUAAUACAAAAUAUAUUAAAGGUGUUUUUUUUAAUUAACAUUAAAAUUUUAGUUUUAGUUUGAAUAAUGUUAUAGUUGUCUUUUUAAAAUUUUGACAACCAUUAUUUUUUAACAAACAAUUAUUAUUUUUAGUUUCUCCAACAUUUUUUUUUCGAAAUGCAUUCAAUGAUUACCUUAUGAUUUAUAAUACUAUAAAUUUGACUUGACAUGUUUUAAACAAUAAAUAGUUAAAUUUUUAUUUUUAUUAUAUAUAAUUGAUGCCAUUUUUAUUUUAAUUUAAUAAUUUGUGGGUAAUAAACAUGAAAAAUAUGAUAUGAAAUAACAUGAGAGGAUCAAUAUGAAUAUUUGAAUUAAGAUCCUAACUCCACUCAAGAUAGCUCCUCUAAGACUAAUAGUUUCUAAUACUAUUCUUCAUUUUCAUCUUUUGUUUUGUAUUCAUUGUUAAAUUAUUAUAUGGACAUGAUCCAUUUUCAUCUGAAUUUAAUGAACAUGAUGAAAUGUGAUAUAUAAGAGAAUGUGUUUUCAUUUUUUUUUUAUAUCUCUAAUUAUAUAAUUUAAUUCCAAGAUAAAUGAUCUUCUCUAACAUGUCCUGUCUAUGUUUUCCAUUCAAAUUAACAGAAAAGCCACACGACCUUCACAAAUGUAUUUUGAUAUAUAAAAAUAUCACUUACUCUAUAUAUAUAUGAUAAGUAGCUCAUUAUUUCUUAUAUCUCAAAGAUUGUUUCUAAUAAGUCUUUAUAAGUGUAAUUAUAUCAGUUAUAUCUUUAAUUUUUAGUUAAGUUAUUCAAUAAGAGGCUGUGCAAUUAUAUCAGUUAAAAAAAUAAGUGUAUUUUUAGAAAGUUACUUCUCAUUUCUUAUUUUCUUGAAAUAAAUUAGAUAAAAAUAAUUAAAAUAAAAGAGAUAAGAUAAAAUAUAAGACAAAGAAAAAGUUGUAUUUAAUAAUAAUAUAUAAGUUAGAGUAAUUGUCUUUAUACAAAUAAUAUAUGAAACCAUCCAAACUUAUUUGAAACAAUAAAUAAUUAAGUUAUUAUAUGAAUAUUAAUUGAUUUUAAAUAAUUAAGUUAUUUGAAACAAUAAUCAAUUAAAGGACAUGGGAGGAUGAGUAUGAAUUGAAUCCUAAUUAACUCCACUCUAAAACCAAUAGUUUCUAAUACUAUUUUUCAUUUCAAUCCUUUACCUUGUAUUUAUUGAUAAAUUAUUACAUGGACAUGAUCCAUUAACUAAGCAAUGGACCAAUCCAAUAGAAUAAAGACAUUUGUUUGCAUAAUUAAAACAACAAUAAUUCUAAGAACCUAUAAUUAAUCUGGAAAGAAAAUAGAAAGGAAACUCAUGAUCUUCCUCUACCUCUCUCUUUUCAUUAUAAAACCUAGAAAUCCAAAGGCAAUACUUUAUGUAAGGGAUGAUAAAGGAUGCUUAUGAGUCGGCUUUUCAAAAUGAAAUGGUAAUUUCUUCUACGAUUUUGCUUUAGAUAUAUUGAUUUACGAUUUUGAUAAUUAAAGUAUUUUACCAUACAAUUUUAAUGUUUAGAGGUGCUCUGAUGCACAAUAAUUAGAGUUAGUUUAUUUUUAUAUUUCGAACAGGCAAACGAGUAAUAUAGGAAGUUGAGGAAACCCAUCAAAAGUCAACGAGCCUUCUUCUCCAACAAGAAAAGACAGGGGAAAGUGUCUUCUUAUGCACAUACUUGAACAAUCUCACCCUCACAAAUAGAGGAGCCUGUAGCUUUCCUCGUGAUCUUCUACCCGCCUCUUCCUUACAGGUAACGCCCUUUCUUCCUUUUCGGGCUUCUUUGAAUUUUGGGCCCUUUGAGUUAUUUUUCGUUUCGGCUCUGUCCCAUAAUCUUUGAUAAAGGGGAAGAGGGAAGAGGUCAAAUUUCAGUUCAGAAGGUGAGGUAUUGAAUAAUGAAUACUAGCAGCACUCAACUUUUAUUUGCCUUUCCAUUUCGAUAACAUAUAUAUUCGGCAGCUUCAAUUUGGCCUGCCUAAGUCUUGUCUUGGCUCAACACCCCUCAUUUCCUGCUCUGUCCUCUAAGAGAGCCAGAGACAUGGAGAUUGAACAUUUUAGCCACCCAGAUCAUCCAUUGAUCCUCAUUAAUCAAGUUCUCGAAUAUAGUUGCGAACUAGUUAUUUGCUCUGGAUGCGAGGGACCGAUAUGGGGUCCUGGCUACAGUUGCACCUCUUGCUACUUCUUUCUUCAUAAGAAAUGCGCCGAGCUGCCCCGUGAGAUCAUGCGGUGCAUUCAUCCUAGACACCCUCUCCAUCUACUGCCAAAGUCACCAUAUAAAGGAGAAUACGGUUGUGAUCGCUGCCAAAAAACUUGCAAGAGUUUUGUUUACCAUUGUUCUGUCUGUGAAUUUGAUCUUGAUAUCAAAUGUGCUUUUCAACCGGGUUUUUUUGAAGUUGAUAGUCAGGCACAUCAAUUUGCCCACAAGGAUCAUCCAUUGAUUUUGAAUGAAGAGCAAGAAUAUCAUGGUGAAGGAGUACAGUGUUGUGUGUGCAAGGAACCAAUGUCUGGUCCUAGCUAUAGUUGCACUUCUUGCAACUUCUUUCUUCACAAGAAGUGUGCUGAGCUACCCCCAGAGAUCAAGCAGCAUUUGCAUCCAGAACACCCUCUUCGUCUACUGCCAAAUCAUGAUAUGAUCUGUGAUUUUUGCAACGAAACUUGCUAUGAGAGUUUUCUUUACUUUUGUAUUGUGUGUGAAUACAACCUCCAUAUCAAAUGUGCUUUUCCACCGUGCAUUGAUGCAGCUGAUCAGAAUCAAAGGCAUCAAUUUAGACGCCUAAUGAAUCCACUUUCAUUAAAAUCAAUCUCCUUCACUUGCAAUGCAUGUGGCACAGAUGGAGAUGACUCCCCAUUUUGGUGCACUAUGUGCCAACUCGUGGUCCACAAAAAAUGCAUUUCAUUGCCACGCACCCUUAAAACGGAACUGCACCAGCAUCCCCGAAUCAUCCACACCUAUCAUCCUCAAAAACGCAUCGAAUCUAUAAACAAGUACUGUGGAAUUUGCUGUCGGGAAGUUGACACAGAAUACGGAGUUUACUAUUGCCCGGACUGUGACUUUGUUGCACACGUGGAUUGUAGUGGAGAAUAUGGGGAUUCUGCAACAGAGAUUGUAGUAGAAAACGAAGAAGAGCAAAGUGUGACUGUUGAUGAUCAAUUCAAUGAACCUAGCUUUCGCGUUGUCCGUGAGAUCAAGCAUGGAGAGGAGAGAAUAAUUGAAGAGAUCGAACAUUUCAGUCAUCAACAUAACCUAAUCCUUACUGACAAGGUUGAUGAUGAUCUAAAGUGUGAUGGGUGCAUGUUACCAAUCUC